UACGUAGGGUGCGAGCGUUGUCCGGAAUUACUGGGCGUAAAGAGCUCGUAGGUGGUUUGUCGCGUUGUCCGUGAAAACUCACAGCUUAACUGUGGGCGUGCGGGCGAUACGGGCAGACUGGAGUACUGCAGGGGAGACUGGAAUUCCCGGUGUAGAGGUGAAAUUCGUAGAUAUCGGGAGGAACACCAGUGGCGAAGGCGGCGAUCUGGGAAGAUACUGACGCUGAGGUGCAAAAGCGUGGGGAGCAAACAGG
This 253-nucleotide ribosomal RNA is filed under the name uncultured bacterium. RNAcentral describes it as "partial 16S ribosomal RNA". It matches the Rfam family "Bacterial small subunit ribosomal RNA", at positions 524 to 776 of the family's 1533-position model. The record is from RNAcentral.